RNAcentral lists this unclassified non-coding RNA (348 nucleotides) under uncultured fungus. Its description in RNAcentral is "partial contains small subunit ribosomal RNA, internal transcribed spacer 1, and 5.8S ribosomal RNA". The stretch from base 1 to 73 matches the Rfam family "Eukaryotic small subunit ribosomal RNA", at positions 1759 to 1831 of the family's 1831-position model. The record is from RNAcentral. Lineage: Eukaryota; Fungi.
GCAAACUUGGUCAUUUAGAGGAAGUAAAAGUCGUAACAAGGUUUCCGUAGGUGAACCUGCGGAAGGAUCAUUAUCGAGUUUUGAAACGGGUUGUAGCUGGCCUUCCGAGGCAUGUGCACGCCCUGCUCAUCCACUCUACACCUGUGCACUUACUGUAGGCUUUCGGGAGCUUCGAAAGCAGAGGGGAUUGGCCUUCACAAGCCGGUCUCUAAUGCCUGUAGUUGUGACCGGGGCUUACGUCUUACCACAAACUCUUAUAAGUAUCAGAAUGUGUAUUGCGAUGUAACGCAUCUAUAUACAACUUUCAGCAACGGAUCUCUUGGCUCUCGCAUCGAUGAAGAACGCAGC